GAUGAAGAACGUAGCGAAAUGCGAUAAGUAAUGCGAAUUGCAGAAUUCAGUGAGUCAUCGAAUCUUUGAACGCACAUUGCGCCCUGUGGUAUUCCGCAGGGCAUGCCUGUUCGAGCGUCAUUUCAACCCUCAAGCCCCGCUUGGUGUUGGGCCCCGCCCGCCGUGGCCGGCCCUAAAGACAGUGGCGGCGCCGCCUGGCCCUCAGCGUAGUACAGCUCUCGCUCCAGGGUCCGGCGGCCGCCUGCCAGAACCCCCCAACUCUGUGGUUGACCUCGGAUCAGGUAGGGAUACCCGCUGAACUUAAGCAUAUCAUAAGCGGAGGA
This 323-nucleotide unclassified non-coding RNA is filed under the name soil metagenome. Its description in RNAcentral is "partial contains 5.8S ribosomal RNA, internal transcribed spacer 2, and large subunit ribosomal RNA". The stretch from base 1 to 120 matches the Rfam family "5.8S ribosomal RNA", at positions 35 to 154 of the family's 154-position model. The record is from RNAcentral.